This 30-nucleotide small RNA is filed under the name Bombyx mori (domestic silkworm). RNAcentral's name for it is "ovarian small RNA-32592". Lineage: Eukaryota; Metazoa; Arthropoda; Insecta; Lepidoptera; Bombycidae. The record is from RNAcentral.
UGAUCAAAGAAUGAUGAUGAAUGCGCCGGC